This 75-nucleotide transfer RNA is filed under the name Actinomycetota bacterium. RNAcentral describes it as "tRNA-Val". It matches the Rfam family "tRNA". Rfam says of the family: Transfer RNA (tRNA) molecules are approximately 80 nucleotides in length. Lineage: Bacteria; Bacillati; Actinomycetota. The record is from RNAcentral.
GGGCGCUUGGCUCAGGGGGAGAGCGCUUCCUUGACACGGAAGAGGUCGGCAGUUCAAAUCUGCCAGUGCCCACCA